This 423-nucleotide ribosomal RNA is filed under the name uncultured Glomeromycotina. RNAcentral describes it as "SSU rRNA". It matches the Rfam family "Eukaryotic small subunit ribosomal RNA", at positions 671 to 1092 of the family's 1831-position model. The record is from RNAcentral. Lineage: Eukaryota; Fungi; Glomeromycota.
CGGUACGUACUGGUAUUGUUGGUUUCUCCCUUCUGACGAACCAUGAUGUCAUUUAUUUGGUGUUGUGGGGAAUCAGGACUGUUACUUUGAAAAAAUUAGAGUGUUUAAAGCAGGCUCACGCUUGAAUACAUUAGCAUGGAAUAAUGAAAUAGGACGUUUGAUUCUAUUUUGUUGGUUUCUAGGAUCGACGUAAUGAUUAAUAGGGAUAGUUGGGGGCAUUAGUAUUCAAUCGUCAGAGGUGAAAUUCUUGGAUUUAUUGAAGACUAACUACUGCGAAAGCAUUUGCCAAGGAUGUUUUCAUUAAUCAAGAACGAAAGUUAGGGGAUCGAAGACGAUCAGAUACCGUCGUAGUCUUAACCAUAAACUAUGCCGACUAGGGAUCGGAUGAUGUUAAUUUUUUAAUGACUCAUUCGGCGCCUUACG